UGCAGUCGAGCGGACCGACGGGAGCUUGCUCCCUUAGGUCAGCGGCGGACGGGUGAGUAACACGUGGGUAACCUGCCUGUAAGACUGGGAUAACUCCGGGAAACCGGGGCUAAUACCGGAUGCUUGAUUGAACCGCAUGGUUCAAUCAUAAAAGGUGGCUUUUAGCUACCACUUACAGAUGGACCCGCGGCGCAUUAGCUAGUUGGUGAGGUAACGGCUCACCAAGGCGACGAUGCGUAGCCGACCUGAGAGGGUGAUCGGCCACACUGGGACUGAGACACGGCCCAGACUCCUACGGGAGGCAGCAGUAGGGAAUCUUCCGCAAUGGACGAAAGUCUGACGGAGCAACGCCGCGUGAGUGAUGAAGGUUUUCGGAUCGUAAAACUCUGUUGUUAGGGAAGAACAAGUACCGUUCGAAUAGGGCGGUACCUUGACGGUACCUAACCAGAAAGCCACGGCUAACUACGUGCCAGCAGCCGCGGUAAUACGUAGGUGGCAAGCGUUGUCCGGAAUUAUUGGGCGUAAAGCGCGCGCAGGCGGUUUCUUAAGUCUGAUGUGAAAGCCCCCGGCUCAACCGGGGAGGGUCAUUGGAAACUGGGGAACUUGAGUGCAGAAGAAGAGAGUGGAAUUCCACGUGUAGCGGUGAAAUGCGUAGAGAUGUGGAGGAACACCAGUGGCGAAGGCGACUCUCUGGUCUGUAACUGACGCUGAGGCGCGAAAGCGUGGGGAGCGAACAGGAUUAGAUACCCUGGUAGUCCACGCCGUAAACGAUGAGUGCUAAGUGUUAGAGGGUUUCCGCCCUUUAGUGCUGCAGCAAACGCAUUAAGCACUCCGCCUGGGGAGUACGGUCGCAAGACUGAAACUCAAAGGAAUUGACGGGGGCCCGCACAAGCGGUGGAGCAUGUGGGUUUAAUUCGAAGCAACGCGAAAAACCUUACCAGGUCUUGACAUCCUCUGACAACCCUAGAAAUAGGGCUUCCCCUUCGGGGGCAAAAUGACAGGUGGUGCAUGGUUUGUCGUCAGCUCCGUGUCCUGAGAAUGUUGGGGUUAAGUUCCCGCAACGAGCGCAAACCCUUGAUCUUAGUUGCCAGCAUUCAGUUGGGCACUCUAAGGUGACUGCCGGUGACAAACCGGAGGAAGGUGGGGAUGACGUCAAAUCAUCAUGCCCCUUAUGACCUGGGCUACACACGUGCUACAAUGGGCAGAACAAAGGGCAGCGAAGCCGCGAGGCUAAGCCAAUCCCACAAAUCUGUUCUCAGUUCGGAUCGCAGUCUGCAACUCGACUGCGUGAAGCUGGAAUCGCUAGUAAUCGCGGAUCAGCAUGCCGCGGUGAAUACGUUCCCGGGCCUUGUACACACCGCCCGUCACACCACGAGAGUUUGUAACACCCGAAGUCGGUGAGGUAAC
Molecule: ribosomal RNA, 1407 nt
Filed under: Bacillus licheniformis
Lineage: Bacteria; Bacillati; Bacillota; Bacilli; Caryophanales; Bacillaceae
Description: bacterial SSU rRNA
Rfam family: Bacterial small subunit ribosomal RNA
Source: RNAcentral